RNAcentral lists this unclassified non-coding RNA (6238 nucleotides) under Mizuhopecten yessoensis (Yesso scallop). RNAcentral describes it as "protein RMD5 homolog A-like, transcript variant X1". The record is from RNAcentral. Lineage: Eukaryota; Metazoa; Mollusca; Bivalvia; Pectinida; Pectinidae.
UCCUGUUCGGUUGCUUCCGGUGAUAUUUGCUAACAUAUUAAUUUUGUUUUCUAGUGUUGUGUCUGUCGACUUUUCUGGUUAUUAGGCCACUGCCACGUUUUCGUAUUUGUUAAAACAACACAAUGAACCAACACCAAUUAUAAAUAUGUGUGAAUAUAACGGAAGCUCAUGAGAGAAGGUCAAGGCUGAAAAACAAAAAUGGAGUCGUGCAAUGCAGUUGAGAGAGAAGUUGAGAAAGUAUUUAACAAAUUUGCUGGCUUGAAGGACCAUUCAACCAAAAACCUUGAUGAAUUGUGCAAUUCAAUCCAAAGUAUACAGCGGGAGUUAGGUGACGGUGAAACACUAACAGCAACCCAAACCUUGAUAUUGACACAGACUGUUCGCAGGAUUAAAGAGGCAGUAUCACGCUUGGGACAGGAACAUAAAGAGCUUCAUAGCACUGUGUCUAAAGUCGGGAAAUCAAUUGACAGGAAUUUUGUCAAUGAUUUGACUUCCAUAGCAACAGAUGGGGCAUUUGAAGGAACGGAAAAAACUCACCUACUAAACGAAGUUGUCUGCGAACACUUUAUGAGACAGGGGAUGUUGGACAUUGCUGAUGCUCUUGUUGCGGAGGCAAACUUAGAAAUCGCAGGAGAGAAAAAAGAACCUUUCUUAGAAUUGCAUCGGAUACUUGGAGCGUUGAAACAAAAGAAUUUAGAACCAGCGUUAUGCUGGGCGACGUCAAAUAAAGACCGAUUACGAGAAAUUAACAGUUGCUUAGAGUUUAAGCUACAUAGAUUAAAGUUCAUUGACCUCCUACGUCAAGGACAUAUGUCUCAGACCGAGGCUUUAUACUACUCCCGACACCUGUCACAGUUUGCCAGCCAGUAUCCAAGAGACCUACAGGUACUGAUGGGCAGUAUGCUAUACCUAAGACAAGGUAUUGAGAAUUCUCCGUACGCCCAUCUGGUGGCCCCUAUCUACUGGGAGGAGAUCUGCGAUGUGUUUACAAGGGAUGCCUGCUGCCUUCUGGGCAUGUCUGUGGAGAGCCCCCUAAGUGUUAGUAUCCGAGCGGGUUGUCUAGCCUUACCUCCCCUACUAAAUAUCCGACAAGUGAUGCAGCAACGACAGGUGUCGGGAGUCUGGAGCAACAAGGACGAGUUACCGGUAGAGAUAGACUUGGGGAAGGAUUACCGAUACCACUCCACCUUCGCCUGUCCGAUCCUGCGCCAACAGACAACAGACACCAAUCCGCCCAUGAGGCUUAUUUGUGGUCAUGUGAUAUCAAAGGACGCCCUUACAAAACUUUCAAAUGGAACAAAGGUGAAGUGUCCUUACUGCCCUAUAGAACAGCUACCCAUGGAAGCCAAGCAGAUUUACUUCUGAGAGGCCAUGCUGAUUAAUGAAGUGGAAGUCAAAGGAUUGCCUUUUGGUGGGACUUACGUAGUGGGUGUAUUCUGCACAAGCUUGCUUCCAAAUCAAAAGUUUAAUUUGUGAAUUUUGUUUUGAGAGCAAGACACCGAUUUCUGUCAAUUUCAGUGAAGAUGUCUGGUGUUUCCUGCAAGAAUAUUGCUUCUACAGGGAAAUAAAUGUGGAAUUCUGUUUAUGAAGCCCUCAACGUUUCUAGAUGUGACUCACACUCAACGUUUUAGCAACUUCCUAGAGGUCAUAGUGCAACACUGACACCAUGGAGGUCACAUGUCAAUAUUGACACCAUGGAGGUCACAGGUCAACACUGACACCAUGGAGGUCACAUGUCAUAGUGCAACACUGACACCAUGGAGGUCACAGGUCAAUAUUGAUACCACGGAGGUCACAGGUCAAUAUUGACACCAUGGAGGUCACAGGUCAACACCAUGACAGCACAAGCAUGUUUCAGUCUGUGAUCUGACAGUAUUUUUUACAGAGUUUGUGCUUAGACUGAACUUGUAUAUAAUCAAGGGACAAAUUUCUGUUUGUAUUUAUAGUUAAAGUGAAAUAUCUUGGACCGGAGGUGUGCAACUUAAAACCCCCCACCAAACUAUUAAGCUAUUUUGAAGGACAAUGAACUUUUGAAAAUAGCAUUUCAAUAAACAUUUGCUCCUGGUACUGGAUUGCAUCCAUACCCCGUUAUUGUUAUGUACUGGGUUCUUUAUGUACUGCGUCAGUAACAUGUCUAUUGAACGACCCCGUUAUUGUAAUGUACUGGGUUCUUUAUGUACUGCGUCAGUAACAUGUCUAUUGAACGUCCCCGUUAUUGUAAUGUACUGUGUUCUUUAUGUUCUGCGUCAGUAACAUGUCUAUUGAACGACCCCGCUAUUGUAAUGUACUGGGUUCUUUAUGUACUGCGUCAGUAACAUGUCUAUUGAACGUCCCCGUUAUUGUAAUGUACUGUGUUCUUUAUGUUCUGCGUCAGUAACAUGUCUAUUGAACGACCCCGUUAUUGUAAUGUACUGUGUUCUUUAUGUACUGCGUCAGUAACAUGUCUAUUGAACGAUUCCUUUUUGAUGUACAGCAAUCCAGGGGAGACAAUCAAUUACAGUUGUAGGCCGGUGAUCAAGAUGUAAGAUGUUACAUAUGUUGGUAAAAUAGAAGAUUUAUCUGUUCCAAGUUUAAAUGUCUGUGAAAUGAAAUGUAAAAUAUGUGAUAUUUUCUGUAAUCAGUGACAUCCCUGUAAACACAUCAUUGCUGUUAAAGGAUCCCCGUGUUACUGCCAAAAACGAAGUCCAUGUAUUGGAUAACCAUGAUGUCAUUUUUGAAAGAAACCAUGCAUUGUGGUAUUUUUAUGGAAAUAAUAAAGAGAAAAUAAACAAAAUAUAAUGGAUAAGAGUGUCUGAGUGUAGAACAUUGGGUGGGGCUAGACCAGGAUUUAAACCCUGGACAUGAGAUUGCUAUUCUAUCGCUGUAACCAAUGGAGUUACCUGGUCAAUGGAACCCUGGACACCAGAUUGCUAUUCUAUCGCUGUAACCAAUACUCCACCUGGUCAAUGGAACCCUGGACACCAGAUUGCUAUUCUAUCGCUGUAACCAAUGGAGUUACCUGAUCAAUGGUACUCUGGACACCAGAUUGCUAUUCUAUCGCUGUAAUUAAUGGAGUUACCUGGUCAAUGGAAGUGUGCUAGCCCAAUAUUAAUUGUACUACAGUUACGUCCAAACGGAAGUCAAGGUGACUGUAUAGGAAUAAUGGCAGUGAAGUGGGACAGUGAUCCUACAGAGAAUCUUUUGUACCACAAUUGACCUUUGAGAUAAUGUUUUGACCCCUAAAAUUGGUUUUGACUCUUGAACAGAACAGGUCUAGUUAACAUGUGGCAGUGUUUUGACAUCCAAAUAUAAGGAAACAUGUUAUUUGACUUGUGAAAUUGCAGCAUUUUAAGGGUCAGCUGAAAGUCCUGGUGCCGGUAUGUGUUUUAUCACGGGUACAUAACCACUUUGCCAAGUUAUGAUGAAUAGAAUCAAGGCCAAGUGGCAUAUUUAAUAUUUCUAAUCAAAACAAUGUCUUCUCUCUCAGAUUUAGUAUUAAAUUUCUGUCUCCUGGCGGUUUUUGUUGCUCUUUGUGGAUAAAGAAAUGUAAAUAAAUAUCUGUCGAUUUCAGAGCUAGUUAAAAAGCUGAUUGUACAGAAGGUGUAAAUAUUCUGUGUUGUUGUAGUGUAACGUUUGUUUUAUCAUUGUUUCUAUUUAUUCCUAAUGUUAAGAACUUGGGUAAGAUGCCCACCAGAUCAUUCUCAGUCUUACAGGAAUUUACUUCACCCAGACUUUGCCCGAUUGGUCGGGCAGCACUGAGAUGUCAGUAGUGAUUAAAAGGAGACGAUAGUUGUUCCAAAUAUAAACAGACAACCGCUGUAGGAUCAAUUAUCUGGAUAACUUGGGUGAUCUGUCGAGCAGAUUAGCCGAUAGGCCAAGUGUACUAGGUGGUCAGUCAAUAGUCUGUCAAAAGUCCAGUGGUCCCUUUUUUAGUGGAUAUGAUGAUUUGUCAAGUGGAUCAGUGGGUUGUUCAAAUGUACCUGGUGAUCUUUCAAGGGGAUGAUUGGUCAAGUGGGACAUUGGGUUGGUCAAAUGUACCUGGUGAUCUUUCAAGGGGAUGAUUGGUCAAGUGGGACAUUGGGUUGGUCAAAUGUACCUGGUGAUCUUUCAAGGGGAUGAUUGGUCAAGUGGGACAUUGGGUUGGUCAAAUGUACCUGGUGAUCUUUCAAGGGGAUGAUUGGUCAAGUGGGACAUUGGGUUGGUCAAAUGUACCUGGUGAUCUUUCAAGGGGAUGAUUGGUCAAGUGGGACAUUGGGUUGGUCAAAUGUACCUGGUGAUCUUUCAAGGGGAUGAUUGGUCAAGUGGGACAUUGGGUUGGUCAAAUGUACCUGGUGAUCUUUCAAGGGGAUGAUUGGUCAAGUGGGACAUUGGGUUGGUCAAAUGUACCUGGUGAUCUUUCAAGGGGAUGAUUGGUCAAGUGGGACAUUGGGUUGGCAAAUGUUCAAUUAGAGAGGAUGAUUGGUCAAGUGUCUUGGUCAAUUAUGGACAAAGUGACCUUUCUAGGGUGAUUGGUCAAGUGGGACAGUGGUUUGGUCAAAUGGACAAAGUGACCUUUCAAGUAGAGAGGAGUGUAACAUGUUAGUCAAAUGCAGCUGGUGACCUUUCUAGGGUGAUUGGUCAAAUAUACUGUAGGUGAUCAGUCAAGUUUACCAUCAGUAUGACACUGUAGGUGAUCAGUAGUUUACCAUCAGUAUGACACUGUAGGUGAUCAGUAGUUUACCAUCAGUAUGACACUGUAGGUGAUCAGUAGUUUACCAUCAGUAUGACACUGUAGGUGAUCAGUAGUUUACCAUCAGUAUGACACUGUAGGUGAUCAGUAGUUUACCAUCAGUAUGACACUGUAGGUGAUCAGUAGUUUACCAUCAGUAUGACACUGUAGGUGAUCAGUAGUUUACCAUCAGUAUGACACUGUAGGUGAUCAGUAGUUUACCAUCAGUAUGACACUGUAGGUGAUCAGUAGUUUACCAUCAGUAUGACACUGUAGGUGAUCAGUAGUUUACCAUCAGUAUGACACUGUAGGUGAUCAGUAGUUUACCAUCAGUAUGACACUGUAGGUGAUCAGUAGUUUACCAUCAGUAUGACACUGUAGGUGAUCAGUAGUUUACCAUCAGUAUGACACUGUAGGUGAUCAGUAGUUUACCAUCAGUAUGACACUGUAGGUGAUCAGUAGUUUACCAUCAGUAUGACACUGUAGGUGAUCAGUAGUUUACCAUCAGUAUGACACUGUAGGUGAUCAGUAGUUUACCAUCAGUAUGACACUGUAGGUGAUCAGUAGUUUACCAUCAGUAUGACACUGUAGGUGAUCAGUAGUUUACCAUCAGUAUGACACUGUAGGUGAUCAGUAGUUUACCAUCAGUAUGACACUGUAGGUGAUCAGUAGUUUACCAUCAGUAUGACACUGUAGGUGAUCAGUAGUUUACCAUCAGUAUGACACUGUAGGUGAUCAGUAGUUUACCAUCAGUAUGACACUGUAGGUGAUCAGUAGUUUACCAUCAGUAUGACACUGUAGGUGAUCAGUAGUUUACCAUCAGUAUGACACUGUAGGUGAUCAGUAGUUUACCAUCAGUAUGACACUGUAGGUGAUCAGUAGUUUACCAUCAGUAUGACACUGUAGGUGAUCAGUAGUUUACCAUCAGUAUGACACUGUAGGUGAUCAGUAGUUUACCAUCAGUAUGACACUGUAGGUGAUCAGUAGUUUACCAUCAGUAUGACACUGUAGGUGAUCAGUAGUUUACCAUCAGUAUGACACUGUAGGUGAUCAGUAGUUUACCAUCAGUAUGACACUGUAGGUGAUCAGUAGUUUACCAUCAGUAUGACACUGUAGGUGAUCAGUAGUUUACCAUCAGUAUGACACUGUAGGUGAUCAGAAGUUUACCAUCAGUAUGACACUGUAGGUGAUCAGUCAAGUUUACCAUCAGUAUGACACUGUAGGUGAUCAGUCAAGUUUACCAUCAGUAUGACACUGUAGGUGAUCAGUAGUUUACCAUCAGUAUGACACUGUAGGCGACACUGUAACAUUAUAAAAUAAUAGGAUUUGUAUUACAUGUAAUACAUAUUUAUAUCGAGAAUAAACUGCUGUGUAUCAAGGAGACCACACCGUUUAUCUCUGACACUAUCCCACUUCACGGUAUCUUGAACAACAGAUUUUAGUAAAUGAAGGUUUGGUUAUUUGGUACAAACUUUGAGUUGUUUAAAUGAUAGAACUAAUUGACUUAUUGUUUUGUCCUUAAAAAAAAAGAGAAUAAAUUGUUGAUUUUUA